GAUGAACGCUGGCGGCGUGCCUAACACAUGCAAGUCGAACGGAGUCCAGCCUUAGAGACCUUCGGGUCAAAGAGGGGAAGACUUAGUGGCGGACGGGUGAGUAACACGUGGGCAACCUGGCUCAUAGAGGGGGAUAACAGAGAGAAAUUUCUGCUAAUACCGCAUAAGCACACACUGCCGCAUGGCAGAGUGUGAAAAGAGAAUCGCUAUGAGAUGGACCCGCGUCUGAUUAGCCAGUUGGCAGGGUAAGAGCCUACCAAAGCGACGAUCAGUAGCCGAUUUGAGAGGAUGAACGGCCACAUUGGGACUGAGACACGGCCCAAACUCCUACGGGAGGCAGCAGUGGGGGAUAUUGCACAAUGGGGGGAACCCUGAUGCAGCGACGCCGCGUGAGUGAAGAAGUAUUUCGGUAUGUAAAGCUCUAUCAGCAGGGAAGAUAAUGACAGUACCUGAAUAAGAAGCCCCGGCUAACUACGUG
RNAcentral lists this ribosomal RNA (478 nucleotides) under uncultured bacterium. RNAcentral's name for it is "partial 16S ribosomal RNA". It matches the Rfam family "Bacterial small subunit ribosomal RNA", at positions 28 to 507 of the family's 1533-position model. The record is from RNAcentral.